Long non-coding RNA from Erigeron canadensis, 227 nucleotides. RefSeq lists it as uncharacterized. The record is from RefSeq and is a predicted model, not a curated record. The transcript has 3 exons. NCBI's taxonomy places the organism in Eukaryota, Viridiplantae, Streptophyta, Magnoliopsida, Asterales, Asteraceae.
GAAUGAAUGAGCAGAUUUUGAAGACAAAGCUAAGCUGUGGUGAGAAACAACGAGUAGCAUUAGUUCAUGCAUUUCCUGUAAACUCCACCUAUUUUGUUAUGUGAUGAGGCAACAAAUGCUAUUCAUAGCACAAGAGAGGCAGAGAUUCUGAUUGCAUUGAGGUCACUUGCCAAUAACCGAACCCCAGUCUUUGUUGCUCAUAGGCUUACAACUGCAAUUUGCAGUGU